GUGGAUUAGAUACCCGGGUAGUCCACGCCGUAAACGAUGAUAACUAGCUGUCAGGGCUCUUGGAGCUUUGGUGGCGCAGCUAACGCGUUAAGUUAUCCGCCUGGGGAGUACGGCCGCAAGGUUAAAACUCAAAGAAAUUGACGGGGGCCUGCACAAGCGGUGGAGCAUGUGGUUUAAUUCGAAGCAACGCGCAGAACCUUACCAGCGUUUGACAUGGUAGGACGGUUACUGGAGACAGUUUCCUUCCCUUACGGGACCUACACACAGGUGCUGCACGGUCGUCGCCAGCU
RNAcentral lists this ribosomal RNA (290 nucleotides) under uncultured bacterium. Its description in RNAcentral is "partial 16S ribosomal RNA". It matches the Rfam family "Bacterial small subunit ribosomal RNA", at positions 773 to 1060 of the family's 1533-position model. The record is from RNAcentral.